RNAcentral lists this ribosomal RNA (407 nucleotides) under uncultured bacterium. Its description in RNAcentral is "partial 16S ribosomal RNA". It matches the Rfam family "Bacterial small subunit ribosomal RNA", at positions 29 to 526 of the family's 1533-position model. The record is from RNAcentral.
AUUGAACGCUGGCGGCAGGCCUAACACAUGCAAGUCGAGCGGAGCGGCGGACGGGGGAGUAAUGCCUAGGAAUCUGCCUGGUAGUGGGGGAUAACGUCCGGAAACGGGCGCUAAUACCGCAUCCUCUCAGAUGAGCCUAGGUCGGAUUAGCUAGUUGGUGGGGUAAAGGCCUACCAAGGCGACGAUCCGUAACUGGGCUGGGAGGAUGAUCAGUCACACGUGAACUGGGACAAGGGCCAGACUCCUACGGGAGGCAGCAGGGGGGAAUAAUGGCAAAUGGGGGGAAGCCUGAUCGAGCCAUGGCGGGUGGUUGAAGAAGGUCUUCGGAUUGUAAAGGUCUUUAAGUUGGGAGGCGGUACCAACAGAAUAAGCACCGGCUUACUUCGUGCCAGCAGCCGCGGUAAUAC